Long non-coding RNA from Bombus pyrosoma, 4535 nucleotides. RefSeq lists it as uncharacterized. The record is from RefSeq and is a predicted model, not a curated record. The transcript has 3 exons. Lineage: Eukaryota; Metazoa; Arthropoda; Insecta; Hymenoptera; Apidae.
CGUUCGAUUCGCUAGCGGAUUUAUCGUCAAGGAAGCUACGUAUGUUUGUUCGAACACGGUAAACACUUUCCCGCACUUAUCCCAAGGAGGAGGAGCGGGCUAAAUAUAAGCGAGACAGAACGAGCAGCGAAUAGACGAGAUAGAACGAACCGAAAUACUGUGACUUUGGGUUUGGUAGAUUGGAAACAACGAUGACCUGUUCGCUGAAAUAUCCACGAGCGAGUCGAAGGAAAUUGUUAUUUUCACUAAUGGAAAAACUGCUUACGCGAUCCGAUUUAUGUUAUCGGCGAAAUCCUACGAGGCGCAAAAUUGUACGACACAGACUAUCGUGCAAUAAUGAGUAGGCAUGUUCGAUCGGACGAAGAAAAAUAAAGGCGAUACAAGGAAAAUAUUCUUCGCAGCAACAUUUUUAUUUUCAUCGAUGAACAUCGCAGUCAUCGCAUUACGUAUCGUAAUCCUAGACUUCGUCGUUGGGAAACAAUAUUCGUUUUGUAAAUUUAAACGAUCGAUACUUGGACGCGGUGCAAAGAAGAAGAAUGAAAAUCCUACCACGCGUUUGUAACAAUUUUCUUCCUAAAUCUGGUUGGUUUACCAAUCGAAAGAUCAUCAUAUCGAAUACCACGCAACCAGAAAGAACUGGUGUACGAAGAAUACGAGAAAUAACAGGAAAGUCGUCGAAGAAGAAUUCAGGAAGAAUUAGAACGACUUAAAGACGCUCUGUUGUAUUCCGCCUAAAUAAUUUCUCCAUGCAUCGAUCGUCUUAUUUUAAGAACGUACAGUAACAGCAGAAUUUUUCAAUUCUACGUACAGCUGAUAGUUCUUAGCGCCGAAACGACUCGACAGAUUCUUAAAGCUUCAUCGAUAUUUUCCCAACGGUACCAACGUCGUGCAAACUGCGCGUCGAGAUUUUUCGAAUAAAAUUUGAAUAUCUAAAUGGUUUGUAGCUGGUGGCGAUUGUAAGACGCGGGAACAUUUCAACUCGGAAAUGAAUUCGAUACGAGAACGUGUAAUCUUCGUGGUAAAUAAUCACGUGUUUGUAACCGUGUUCCAUUCGAUGAUGCGUGUUCACGCAUUGAAGCAAAAUUCCGAAUUGCUCGUGUCGAGAAAUUUAUGCUCCCCCAAUUACGUCAUUGUUAUAACGAGACGCUCCGUUAUCUAUGAUACGAAAAUACAAAGGAGCAAAGAUUUCCUAACAAUUCAUCAUCUUCGGUGACUCGUAUCGCUGUAGGUUUAGUACGGAUCACGAAAGUUUGUCACAUGUUCAUAUAUAUCGAAUUACACGAAUCAUCAGGUUCACUCACGUGACUGUUCGGUAAGAUGCGUUGUUAAGCUUCAUUCGGCGGAAUGUGCAACCAUAUACAUGUACACAUGUAUACAUACAUAUAGGCGGAAAUUGAUAAAAACUCUGACGAUAAGUGCAAAUCGAGCAUAGGAAGUGAAAUCGGAAGAGACGUUUCACUGAAACAAAAGAGACGCGUAGCAAGCAGUAGGCAAAUGCGACAAAGAAGAAGAAAAAGAAGAAGAAGAAGGAGAAGAUGGGAAAAAUCGAUAGGAGCUUCAAAACGACUGCGUCGAGGAACGGAAUCGAAAGAUGCUUCGACGAUCGAAACGAAAGAGCCAGAUGAAGGGUGACGGACGAUUACCAAGACACAAGAAUAAGGAAAAAGAGGAGAAAAUGUAAAAAGCAAGGAGAACUUGGAAACGGGUAUAGAUAUAGAGAUCGGGACCGAAGUUUUCCAUAGUCGCGAUAAAAGAGACGGUCGGAAGGUAAUGAAGGAGUGUAAAGACCAACGACAGGAAGAAAAAGAAGCGGAAAAGCGAGCAAAAGCUUCGAAGGGAGUAUAGCGAUGGAAAAUGAAAAUUAAAAGAAACGAGAUAUCGUCAAAUCAAAGGGUAGAGAAAAGAAGAAUGCGAGGGUAGAAGAGAAUCAUUGAACGAUAAAAAGGAGAAAAACAGGGUCUCGUGCGAUGGAAAAGCGAGCGUGUUCGCGCCUAUAUUCGCGGGGAACACUGAGCGCACGCGAGCGGUGCCUCUGUGCUCGAUGACGCAGUGGCCUUGCACGAUAAAAGACACGUUGUGACACACAGGCCUUUACGGUAAUUUAGCUCGAUUUACUUUUUCGAGUUACGCGUGUCGCGAGAGAACGGCUACCGUGCAACCGGAGACCUGGCAUGCUCCACGCUAUCCCUUGCACGAGACCGUUUAGAAGUUCUCUACCUUCCUCCCACUGUCCUCCACCUCUCGCUCUCGCCCUCUCUUUCUCUCUCUCUCUUAUCUACCUCUUUCAUUCGCGGAAGUUUUACCGCAGCUUUACGAACAAAUUGAGCUAUUUAGCCUAAUUCCUCAAACGCGUUGAAAUCUAUAUUUUCGAACGCUGAGUUUGCGAACGUGAAAACUUUGAAACGAGCGUAUCCGGUGCAUCGAGGAACCUGAAGCUCUGCUUUAAGAAAAUGAUGAAACUUUUUGAACAAACGAAAACGAAAUCGCGCGAUAUCUCGUGAUUCUCGGAUGACCGAAACGAGAUCCGUUUGAAAAUAAUUCCUAUUUACGGUGAAAAACCAGCCACUUAAAGUACCAAAAAUUACCGAUCGAUCUUUUUCAAAAAAAAAAAAAAAAAAACGAUCGAUCAAACCUAAUUGUAUAAAGUACCUCCCGUCCAACCUACAUCGAACAAUAUGUAAAAAAAGCGCUAUUGAUUUCCGUCCAUUCAAGCGUCCAUUCAACGUCGAAUAGAACGAUCGCGAUACCUGCUUGAAUAACGCAAACACGUGGUUUACUAUCGAGCAAUGAGUCGAACGGUAUCAAGCAGGAUCGUCAAUGAACGUGUCACGUAUCUUAUCCAUAUACGGUAUUUUACGCUAUUUCACGGCAUUUUACGGCUGGUGAAUUGGGUUCGUGUCCAAGAUAAGGCACGACCGCGGUAGGAAAACGUCGAGGACGAAGAAAAAUCGAGUUAACCGGUAUAAAAGGCUAAAAUACAGUUACCUAUCGAAACUAUGCAACGUUUCUUAUCGACGAAAUACACUGUUUAAACACAUCCAGGUACUUGCUUAUUAGUCACAGUAUUAGAUAUUAUCAUAGUUGAAACAUUUACUAUUACAAAGUGUGCGCAAGGCUAUGAAUAAUAAUAUAUGUUCGUUAAUGAGGUCAAUUAAAAUUAGCAUAGGGUAAUUGCAAUGUAAACACAGUCGUGAUUUAAAAUCGUUAAAUUGCGCUAUAAUGGAAAAAUGGUCAGAUCUAAUCUUCGUUUAGACGAUCUCCAUGGAAUGCAAUUUUGACGAGGCACAGAAUUGCCAGCGCAUUUCGGUAUAUUAUCGCGAGUAGUCGUCUCGAAGCGCGUAACGACGACGAGGUCGCAACACGUGAAACUCUCUCGAAAUAAUGUUGUUCAUAGGUUGCAGCGACAACAAUGACGUCAUUGCGGGCAGAACCGUGGACGUAACGCACUGGUCGAAGUCUAAGGGCUUCGUGAGAUAAGCAUUUCGACUCGACAUUGUUCUUUCGACUUCUGAAUCCGCGUUUUUUUUUUUCUCGAGUUUCUUAUUUACGUACGCGAUGAUGUUUCACAGUUUUGUUUUUUUAUUUUACUAGUAGAGUAACAAAACAUCUAAAUGACUUUCAAAUCUCGCGUUAUUUUUCCUCCUAUUGACGUAAAAUCAUGCUAGUAAGCUAAAUAUGUAGAUUACACGUAUUAUGUUGAGUAAUAGUCGAUUCACGAUUUCUUAAGCUAAAGGAACACGUAAUAAGAUUAUUAUUACUUUCGUACGAAAUCUAUCCAAUCAAGAAGUACAAAUAAAUACAUUUAUUUAUCCCACUUCUCUAUACUUUUAAACCUUUCGCGAGGAAAAUAUCGGAUACACAUAUUUUUACGAUCUUUCGACGAUCUUUUUCACGUCUCUCGAAAAUCAUGCACCAGCGAGAAACGAUCCAGCUUGUUACUUAAAUCUGAUCUUCAAAUUUUAGAAUAAAUUCCGACAGAUGUUUCUUACUUCGAAAAAACUAAGAAACUUCCCCCAAAAAUUUUUGGAUAUUUUUAGACCAAAUAGGAGAGAUUUUCGGGCGUAUCAGAGAUACUUUACAAUGCCGAGCAAAUUAUUGGUCGAGUACAUCGAUAAGAUACAAUAGGAUUUAUCAGCCAUUCUUAGACACUCACACAACGGAAGGACAAGAGGCGUGUCAGAAUUAUUCCACCGAUAUAUCUGAUACGACUGCCGUCCCAGAAGCCUAUCUCGCUUUCGAUAAAAUAACCUUUGGAUUUAAACGAAGAAAAAAGAAAUAGGCGAAAAAAAAUAACAUAUAUAUAUAUAUAUGUAUCUUAUUGAGCCGCUAAAGAUUCAAGAAAACGGCGUUGCUUUUCUUCUCUUUUCCUUCAUUUUAUUCUCAUUCUUUGACACGGUGAACGUGUACGCGUAAUUUACGAGCGUGUUGUUCAGGACGAACGUUUACGUUGCGUCAUUAUGACAAUAAUAUCACCGUUCUUCCACUGAUAAAGAUAUAUACGUCUUUUCACUUCGCGCGUCCAAUUGCAGUUCCGA